GAUGCGUUCUGUUAAAAGAUUUCUUUUUAAGGCCCCUAUUCUGACCCCUCGGCAACUGUUCCUACAACCUGCCUGGUGUGUGCCUAGCUGCCUUGGCCUUGGGGAAGCACGGGGCAAGACAGCAAGGCCUUGCUGAUGGGGUCGGGCUGCUGCAGGCUUGGGCAAAAUGUAGCUGGGACAGCGGUCCCUUUAAUUUCAUACUCCAGUCACACAUUCCUGGCAUUUUUGAAAAUCCCAGGAAGAGGAGAGUUCCCCGUGUGGAUCCCAGCCCCACUCCCUACUCUGCCAAUGCAACUGUUUGAGGAAGGGAGAGAAAGGGGAGGUUGCAAGAGUAAUUCAAACCCAGUGCAUUUGAUUUCUGAUCAUUUUAGAAAUGCUGAAGGAAGAGAACUUGUGGCAAAGAAAUCAAAGGGACUUGGAUUAAUUAAAAUAAUACAUCAAAACUGGGGAUUGUACAGAACAUGUCUGGAUAUGAGGGAAGA
RNAcentral lists this long non-coding RNA (482 nucleotides) under Salvator merianae (Argentine black and white tegu). RNAcentral's name for it is "lncRNA (ENSSMRG00000016236.1)". The record is from RNAcentral. Lineage: Eukaryota; Metazoa; Chordata; Lepidosauria; Squamata; Teiidae.